CCUAGGGCUGGAAAAUUUUCAAGUCUGGGGCUAGAAAAUUUUCCCCGCCCUUCCCAUCUCCCGCCAUACCUAGCUAGGGCUUAUCGAUCUACUGCCUCUUUAGGGACCUGGAACAUAGUGUGUGGUGUUUCGGUGCUAGCUGGUCGAAGUUUUUUGUGGCAUUCGUUGUUCCUACUGCUUUGAGAUAAGAAAAAUGUCUGCUAGAGGUCGAGGACGAGGAGGUCGUGGAAUGACACCUCAUAGAGUGACUGCUAGAGCAGUGCUUACUCCUGCCGUGUCAUCCACGCCAAGUAAUGAUCUAGCCCAAAACUCAUCUCCUGUUCCACAUAUAUCAGAGUCUGUGCAACCAAAUGUAUCAUUGACACCUACAGAUGCAUCUGUAACAAAGAAUGUAUGUGGGAAAAUUGAAGGUUUAGCGCUAGCCCAGAUUCGAGGGUGUGGAGAGAAGGUGAAAUUGGGCUUUUCUAGAACACUUGGACAACCAACCAGUGAAAACGAUGAUGACUUGACUAGGUUCACCACAGAGAUAGGUGUUAUUGUUCGGCAAUUUGCUCCUUUAUAGGCAAAAAGUUGGGAGAAGUUGCCCCGAGAUGCAAUGGAUAUCUGUAUUGCACAUUCGAGUAAGUAUUAGUAACAUGGCCUUGUUAUUUGUCGGAGUAGUAUGUUAUAACAUUUGUUGGCCCUUUCAUAUGAAAUUGAGAAUAAUUGGAUACUAGUUAAGAGAGUAUGUAAUAAUAUUCUGAUGCAGUUUUGAGUCUAAGUUGACAUCUAAGUCGCUAUCUUCAUGUAUGCAAUUGACUGGAUGAAUUUGUGAGAUAUGUAGGAAAAUUUUGAUCUUCCUAAAGCAACUUAUGUAGACGAAGCUAUAUUGCGAGCUAUGGGUAAGCGGUAUUGCGACAUGCGAUCCCGUCUCAAGAAGAAAUUUGAGAAUGGAGACGUCAAUUGCCCUACAGGUAUAGAGGAGGUAGAUUGGGCAUAUUUGUCUUACUUAUGGAAAGACUCCGAUUAUGAGAUUGCUCAACAAUCGAUGGUGAUCAUUUGAUGGAUGAAGAUACCAUAUAGUAGGAGAUAUGAGAUGAAUGAUGUUUUGGAAGACAAAGCUGCCUUUUGUCUUAUUUUUAGGUACUUCUAUAUGGAAGAAUGAUGUCUUUAGUUUUUGGAAGAAGGAUUGUGGUUCUUGCCUUUGAUACUUGAUGUUAUGUUCGGGGGGUUUUGGCUUUUGUUUUGGGUAUUGAAGAAGACUAAGGUUAAGAUACCAUAGUUUGACUUAUGUGAACUGGUUUUAAGUUAAUGUUAUGCUAUUGCCUGAGUUUUGAUGAAUAAUGCCUUUGAAAUCAUGAC
Long non-coding RNA from Rhododendron vialii, 1341 nucleotides. RefSeq lists it as uncharacterized. The record is from RefSeq and is a predicted model, not a curated record. Lineage: Eukaryota; Viridiplantae; Streptophyta; Magnoliopsida; Ericales; Ericaceae. The transcript is spliced from 5 exons.